RNAcentral lists this ribosomal RNA (110 nucleotides) under Salmonella enterica subsp. enterica serovar Mountpleasant. The record is from RNAcentral. Lineage: Bacteria; Pseudomonadati; Pseudomonadota; Gammaproteobacteria; Enterobacterales; Enterobacteriaceae.
GGCAUUAGCGCGGUGGUCCCACCUGACCCCAUGCCGAACUCAGAAGUGAAACGCCGUAGCGCCGAUGGUAGUGUGGGGUCUCCCCAUGCGAGAGUAGGGAACUGCCAGGC